GGAGAUGUAGCUCAGCAGUGCAGUGCCUGCCUGGCAAGCACGAGGCCCUGGGUUUGAUUCCCAGUACCA
RNAcentral lists this transfer RNA (69 nucleotides) under Fukomys damarensis (Damara mole-rat). It matches the Rfam family "tRNA". From Rfam's summary of the family: Transfer RNA (tRNA) molecules are approximately 80 nucleotides in length. Their secondary structure includes four short double-helical elements and three loops (D, anti-codon, and T loops). The record is from Rfam by way of RNAcentral. Lineage: Eukaryota; Metazoa; Chordata; Mammalia; Rodentia; Bathyergidae.